RNAcentral lists this ribosomal RNA (273 nucleotides) under uncultured bacterium. RNAcentral describes it as "partial 16S ribosomal RNA". It matches the Rfam family "Bacterial small subunit ribosomal RNA", at positions 85 to 354 of the family's 1533-position model. The record is from RNAcentral.
CCGCCGGCGACCGGCGCACGGGUGAGUAACACGUAUGCAACCUGGCCGUGACAGAUGGAUAACCGGGAGAAAUCCCGCCUAAUACAGCAUGACGCCGGGAAGGGACAUCCCUUUCCGGCCAAAGGGGGCGACUCCGGUCACGGGUGGGCAUGCGGCGCAUUAGGUAGUUGGUGGGGCAACGGCCCACCAAGCCGACGAUGCGUAGGGGUUCUGAGAGGAAGGUCCCCCACAUUGGAACUGAGACACGGUCCAAACUCCUACGGAAGGCAGCAG